CCGACCUUAGCUCAGUUGGAAGAGCGUCAGACUGUAACUGGAUACCUGAGCGCAUCUGAAUGUCGCCUGUUCGAACCAGGCAGGUCGGA
This is a transfer RNA of Agaricus bisporus var. burnettii JB137-S8, 89 nucleotides long. It matches the Rfam family "tRNA". From Rfam's summary of the family: Transfer RNA (tRNA) molecules are approximately 80 nucleotides in length. Their secondary structure includes four short double-helical elements and three loops (D, anti-codon, and T loops). Further hydrogen bonds mediate the characteristic L-shaped molecular structure. tRNAs have two regions of fundamental functional importance: the anti-codon, which is responsible for specific mRNA codon recognition, and the 3' end, to which the tRNAs corresponding amino acid is attached (by aminoacyl-tRNA synthetases). tRNAs cope with the degeneracy of the genetic code in two manners: having more than one tRNA (with a specific anti-codon) for a particular amino acid; and 'wobble' base-pairing, i.e. permitting non-standard base-pairing at the 3rd anti-codon position. The record is from Rfam. NCBI's taxonomy places the organism in Eukaryota, Fungi, Basidiomycota, Agaricomycetes, Agaricales, Agaricaceae.